This 447-nucleotide ribosomal RNA is filed under the name uncultured Microcystis sp. RNAcentral describes it as "bacterial SSU rRNA". It matches the Rfam family "Bacterial small subunit ribosomal RNA", at positions 519 to 962 of the family's 1533-position model. Lineage: Bacteria; Bacillati; Cyanobacteriota; Cyanophyceae; Chroococcales; Microcystaceae. The record is from RNAcentral.
GGUAAUACGGGAGUGGCAAGCGUUAUCCGGAAUUAUUGGGCGUAAAGCGUCCGCAGGCGGCCUUGUAAGUCUGUCGUUAAAGCGUGGAGCUUAACUCCAUUUGAGCGAUGGAAACUACAAGGCUUGAGUGUGGUAGGGGCAGAGGGAAUUCCCGGUGUAGCGGUGAAAUGCGUAGAUAUCGGGAAGAACACCAGUGGCGAAGGCGCUCUGCUGGGCCAUAACUGACGCUCAUGGACGAAAGCCAGGGGAGCGAAAGGGAUUAGAUACCCCUGUAGUCCUGGCCGUAAACGAUGAACACUAGGUGUCGGGGGAAUCGACCCCCUCGGUGUCGUAGCUAACGCGUUAAGUGUUCCGCCUGGGGAGUACGCACGCAAGUGUUGAAACUCAAAGGAAUUGACGGGGGCCCCGCACAAGCGGUGGAGUAUGUGGUUUAAUUCGAUGCAACGC